This is a non-coding RNA of Vicugna pacos (alpaca), 1054 nucleotides long. Lineage: Eukaryota; Metazoa; Chordata; Mammalia; Artiodactyla; Camelidae. The record is from RefSeq and is a predicted model, not a curated record.
GGCGCUUGGAGCUGGUACCAGGCUUUUGCGGCGACAAAUAAAACGACCCGGAUUAGUGAAGACAGGUAGCGUGUGUUUGACUAAUAAUGACCCCCGGUUUCACCUCCACCAGUCACGGGAAAGGGGGCACACGGGAGGAAAGCUAAUGGCCUUAGGUGAGCCUGUCAGGCCGCUCCACGGCGUCUUCGUCACCAGUCUCCUGGCAGCCAGUUACCUGCGACCGGCUUAGAAUACCUGCUCCUGCGGACGCGAAGGGGAGGUGGCCCCCCUCUUCUGCCUCGCUCGUGCUUAAGCUUUUUAAAAGACCCCCUCGACCAGCUCCUGGUAGAAACGUCAGAUGCGUUAGGAUGGAGGCGUUUUUCCCUAAGAGCUUUCUCGUGCACCUUUUCCCAUCGACUUUGUAAAACCUGCUGGCCUUUUGGGUGGAGCUGCCUGCUGCAACCUAGAGGCCCACUCAGGCCUCAGACGCUCACAUUUGCAUAUGCCGCAGGACCUAUUUCUGGGCGCCGGGGACUGCUGCCCACACACACAAUCUGCCUCCUCUCCCGGCAGGGCCUCCGCUUUCCCACAACUCCAGCUUCUCCGGAGAGACGGGGGUGCGCAAAGCUGCCGUCAGAAGUUGCCGAGGCCCCAGUGAGAAGUCCCUGAGUGGUGACGUUGGGGCAGACGAGUCAUGGAGGAAAGGAUUCCACCUCUUUUGCAUCUGGGGCUGCUGGCUUUUUCCCUCCCCUGUGAUUGACAGUCAGCUUCCUUGCCUGUAGCAGGACUGGGUCCCAGUGUGGGAUGGAAGCGCAGGCUUCCCUCCUGACUGGAGGGGGCUGGGACCACGUGGGCACCAGCCUGGCCUGUCUGAUGUGACCAGCUGCCGUAAUGGGAAAGGAAUAACCAUGGCCAGUUACAGCCAGGCAGGCCAGUUUGCGUGUUCCUUCUCUGUUCUGUGAUGCUAUGAUGCCAGGGGAUGUUUGGGGUACAGAUACCAAUGCUCACUCAGUCCAUGUUCUACUGGGGGCAUUUCGGCAGCCUCGGUGCUCAAUCUUUACAUUGUCCUUUCUUU